RNAcentral lists this long non-coding RNA (727 nucleotides) under Amphimedon queenslandica. Its description in RNAcentral is "uncharacterized LOC109585527". The record is from RNAcentral. Lineage: Eukaryota; Metazoa; Porifera; Demospongiae; Haplosclerida; Niphatidae.
AUGCAUAUAGGGUUCAAGGAUGAUUCUCUCUACAGUCCUUGUUAUUCUAGUACUGGUAUCUUCGGGUAGUUGUCAGUCUAAUGUAUCUCCAAUAGACUUCAACACACCUCAAUCCUGUAGCCAUGAUACUCAGUACUUCUACCCUGGAACCUCUCCUGUAUCUCUUGCCCACCCAACUCCAUCACUUCAAGCAAUGGAUUAUCCUGUAACUGUGUGACUGGAUACAGACAAACCUCUAACAUUGGACCAGUCACUUGUGAGGCCUGCCCUAGUCUCAGCUCAGUUAGAUCUGAUGAUGGUUUGUAUUGCCUCACUUGUCUGUCUCCAUUGAUAUACACUGGAGGGACUUGCACUGGCUGUGAGGAUCAGACUUCUAUAUUUGUUGACACAAUUCCCAUCAAUCGUUCAUCAACUGGAGACAGAAGGUGCCAAACAUGUCCAGCUAGCACGAUUGCUGACUCUAGCAAGAAGCUCUGUAUCCCUUGUGGUAUCAGUAAUUGCUCCAACUGCCUCUCAUUCACUAAUGGAGUCUGCUUCACUCAGCCACUCACUCCUCCUACUUCUACUCCCUUUCCAUUUUAUUCUAAUUUCAGUUCUUCCCUUGCUCUAUGCAACAAUGGUAGUUUGAGUGCCUGCCAGUUGUUGAUCAAUUUGUGUGUGCUUCAAGGUUAUAGCAUGACUGACCAAGCUUGUCAGGAAAUUAGACGUCUUUCAUCAAAUUCGUUAG